UGGGGAAUAUUGGACAAUGGGCGCAAGCCUGAUCCAGCAAUGCCGCGUGUGUGAAGAAGGCCUGCGGGUUGUAAAGCACUUUCAGUGGGGAGGAAGGCCUCGGCGUUAAUAUCGUCGAGGAUUGACGUUACCUACAGAAGAAGCACCGGCUAACUCUGUGCCAGCAGCCGCGGUAAUACAGAGGGUGCAAGCGUUAAUCGGAAUUACUGGGCGUAAAGGGCGCGUAGGUGGUUAAUUAAGUCAGAUGUGAAAUCCCCGGGCUUAACCUGGGAAUUGCAUUUGAAACUGAUUGGCUAGAGUACGGGAGAGGGAAGUGGAAUUUCCGGUGUAGCGGUGAAAUGCGUAGAUAUCGGAAGGAACACCAGUGGCGAAGGCGACUUCCUGGCCCGUUACUGACACUGAGGCGCGAAAGCGUGGGGAGCGAACAGG
Molecule: ribosomal RNA, 429 nt
Filed under: uncultured bacterium
Lineage: Bacteria
Description: bacterial SSU rRNA
Rfam family: Bacterial small subunit ribosomal RNA
Source: RNAcentral